GAUGCUGACAGCAGCCAAAAGGGAUUUGGCACAGCUCAGGAGAAGUACCCAGGUGACAGCCUCCUCUACCAGUGAGCUGAGAUCAGCUUGGUCUGCACCACCCACCAGCAGACUCAACAGCAUGAGGACAGCGAGCCCCUUCCUGUCUUGGGAUUCAUCUGGACUGGAAAGGGAGACAUCAAGUUUUACACCCAAAACAUCGUAGUGGGCGUACAGGUGGCUCUCUGAAUGCAAGUUCAACCAGCAAACCUCCAUGGCUGGAUGCACGCUUACAAGGAAGCACUGAGCUGACAGAAAUGUGUCUUUCCAUCCUGGAUGCAGAGCAGUUUAGAGCUCAAAACACUGCAGAUGUGGUGAUCCUGGUUCUCCUUUAGGACUUUCUUGGAUUGCGCUCAUGACCAGAAAGAUGUGCAAAGCAGAUAUAAAGGUACUUCAUGCACAACCCCAAGGCAAUGCCAGGAGCCUUAGCACAGCUGGAGCAGCCAACAAACCCAGGAAAAAAUGCACCUACGCGAUUUUAACGUGACUUGCCUCGACUUCAGGUCAACUAAGCAGUACAUCUGGAUGACACAACACAUUGCUCUUGAGAGCCCAAACAAAGCUCUUGUGUUGUUGCUGCACUUUGGACUGAGUGUUAUUCAGGCUCGAUGACCAACUGGUGGUGCUAAUGCUUCGUUGGAUGGGAGGUGAAGGAAGGUUCAUUACCCCUCACUAAAUAUGUACAUGCAUUACACAAACCCUCUGCAAAUUACAAAGCAGCUUUCACCAACCUUGCAAUUAAAGGAUUCAGCUUGAUUUUUAACAGACGCUUGCAGGAAGCAGUUACACACAUGUAUUCCAAAAUUUCAUAUGGCAGCACUUUAAUCACGAUGGUUUCAAGGGACAGGCACUUGCUGAGGACACUUGACCUUUGGUCUUUAGUCCUUACAUCAAGGUUUUGUGUGUCCUCUUGUAUCUGUGAUAGGAUGUUUAUUGCCUGGGAGGAAGGUUAGAUACUCAUGCAGUUACACAGAGGGCUGUGAAGCAGUAAAACAUCAAGCUGGGGGACGGCUAGCCACGCUCAGAGCAACCCGUGUAGCUGAUCAGUCGUGGUCUAAGCCUCAGUGAGCAGGAAGGCUCUGGAGCAUGGUGUUGUUCUGUGUUUCAAGCAGUGUGGUCAUUUACUGCCUCUGACCUAAGCUCCAAAAAGAAGAGCGUGAGAAAACAAAAAAAAACAACUGGUGCUCUCAUUUAUUUCAAUGAGUGAGUCAAGGUACAAUUCUUUGUAUUUGGUGGAGCCGUUUGCUGUUCUAGAGGUUUUUACCUAGUGGCAUUUUGCAACUCUGUCCCCUAGGUGUUGCACUGAGAGCCACCUGUAACAAAAAGGUCAGUGACAAGUUUGCAAGGGGCUGUCUGUUGCCUGGAGAGGGGAGGGGAGGAAUAGAAUAAUUUUCUUUUGCAGCACACAGACUGCGAGAAGAAAACCCCUUUUCACACCAGCCCUGACCUGUGAGGAUGUUUCCCUGGCAGGGCUGCACAGGAGGCAUGCAGAGCAACAGCGAGGAACGGAGCAGGGACCAGUGGUGUGAUAUGGUGGUGGAUGGUUUGUGACAUCCAGGUGAUGACAGCCACCAUAGUGUCGCAUUGCCACCAAGUCUAUUUAUUCCCUGAAAUCAUCUUCCUCAGGUAGCUGCUGUGCUGCUGUUGAGAUGCUGGAGCAGCAAGGUACCUCUGGGCCAACAGGAAUGGCAGGCAAGAGGUACCACUCUGCACCCACCCCCAGCACCACGGGAAGGGGUAUAGUUCCUGAUUUCCUCUGGGCUGAAGCAUCUGUGGUGCUACAUUGACAUCUACCACCCACUGUCCUGCAAAAACAUCUUGGGAACUGCUGCAUUCAGAUGCUACAUGUUGGCCAUUUUCUAGGUACACACACACACAAAGAAAACAGGACAGAUCCCAAAUAUGGGACUCCUCCAAGUUCAAAGUCACAUAGAUCUCCCUUUCCUCCUCUUGCACCCUGCAGCCUGCCCUCUGCCCCCAAAUCCAGGGUGUUGUCCUGGGGGGGAGUUGGCUGAAGGCAAGAGGUAGCUGAGCUUCAGCUGUCAUUCACUGACCAGCGCAUCAGAUUCAAUUUUCAGUGGAAGAAACAAAUCUCCUUCCUCUCCUUUCUUCCAAAGUGGGUCCAGGGACAUGCAGGGGUUUUCAGGCCCUGUUUCUCCUUUUUUCUUCCAUUCCUAAUGAUUUGUUUUUCCUACUCCAAAUCUCUUCCUGGUAGUUUUCCAAGUUUCCUUUUCUUGGAUAGUGUCACCUCUCCUUUCUUCCCCAUGCACAUUCCUUUCCAGGGGCAGCCCUAGCAGCACACUUUGCUUCGACUGAUCAUGGGCAAGACAUGAGCUCUGCUGCUGGUUUUCUUUUUCUGUCUCAUCUUGCUUCUUUCCCAUAGUCAGGCAUAUUAACAUUUGUAUGGGGCUGCUGAAUCAAGGCCUGAACCUCUGAUUGAUCACC
Long non-coding RNA from Meleagris gallopavo (turkey), 2484 nucleotides. RefSeq lists it as uncharacterized. NCBI's taxonomy places the organism in Eukaryota, Metazoa, Chordata, Aves, Galliformes, Phasianidae. The record is from RefSeq and is a predicted model, not a curated record.